UUGCUUCUGCAGCACAUAUACUAAAAUUGGAAUGAUACAGAGAUUGACAUGGCCCCUGCUCAAGGAUGGCACGCAAAUUCAUGUAGUGUUACUUACAUAU
Molecule: small nuclear RNA, 100 nt
Filed under: Suricata suricatta (meerkat)
Lineage: Eukaryota; Metazoa; Chordata; Mammalia; Carnivora; Herpestidae
Source: RNAcentral